RNAcentral lists this long non-coding RNA (601 nucleotides) under Equus caballus (horse). RNAcentral's name for it is "lncRNA (ENSECAG00000049882.1)". Lineage: Eukaryota; Metazoa; Chordata; Mammalia; Perissodactyla; Equidae. The record is from RNAcentral.
CCUGAUCCAUAGCAGCUACUCAGCCUCUGGGAGGCAGAGGCCUGGUUGUAGAGAAAGGGAGCUCCCCAAGAAUCUGAUGCCUUCUUUGCCCCUUCCCCCAGGGUAGGGAGGUAUGAAAACCACCUGUCAGAAGAGAUGGAAGUAAGAACCAGGACAGCAGGCCAGAGAGUGAGACACAAGCGGACUGAGGAGAGCAUAGACAGGGGUGUGCAGUGACGGCUCCUGAAGACGGAAAGCGGAACGUGCUUAUUGUGUGUCUGGGAGCUCCGGGGAUCCGGAGACACUUUCUGCUCCACCAUUUCAUUCGAGAACAUGAGGAAUUUAUUGUAUACCUUGCUGAGGGGAAAAGUCACCCUAGGAACUAGCCAGAGUGUGUCACCUCCAGUGAAGGGCAGACUGGCUGCCUGACCCGGAGAAGCCGGGUGGCCUCGCCUUGCGCUCACGCGCUCUGCCGCCUCGCCGUGGGCGGGUGAAGGGGAAGGGGAACACGCGGCUCCUGGAGACCAGCAGUCGCCUCCCCACGCCCAUGCUCCUGAGAGCACGCCUCUGUAUGCAAGGCUGCAUACCCCAAAUAUUCAUGUUUGUGACAGCAAACCACCGG